UCCUCAGUGUUGUAAGGCCUAUGCCAAGGAU
Molecule: non-coding RNA, 31 nt
Filed under: Homo sapiens (human)
Lineage: Eukaryota; Metazoa; Chordata; Mammalia; Primates; Hominidae
Source: RNAcentral